UACACAUGCAAGUCGAGCGGUAAGGCCCUUCGGGGUACACGAGCGGCGAACGGGUGAGUAACACGUGGGUGAUCUGCCUCGCACUCUGGGAUAAGCCUGGGAAACUGGGUCUAAUACCGGAUAUGACCUUACAUCGCAUGGUGUUUGGUGGAAAGAUUUAUCGGUGCGAGAUGGGCCCGCGGCCUAUCAGCUUGUUGGUGGGGUAAUGGCCUACCAAGGCGACGACGGGUAGCCGGCCUGAGAGGGCGACCGGCCACACUGGGACUGAGACACGGCCCAGACUCCUACGGGAGGCAGCAGUGGGGAAUAUUGCACAAUGGGCGAAAGCCUGAUGCAGCGACCCCGCGUGAGGGAUGACGGCCUUCGGGUUGUAAACCUCUUUCGACAGGGACGAAGGGCAAGUGACGGUACCUGUAGAAGAAGUACCGGCCAACUACGUGCCAGCAGCGCGUUAAUACGUAGGGGGCGAGGUUUUCCGGAAUUACUGGGC
RNAcentral lists this ribosomal RNA (490 nucleotides) under Nocardia cyriacigeorgica. RNAcentral describes it as "bacterial SSU rRNA". It matches the Rfam family "Bacterial small subunit ribosomal RNA", at positions 50 to 559 of the family's 1533-position model. Lineage: Bacteria; Bacillati; Actinomycetota; Actinomycetes; Mycobacteriales; Nocardiaceae. The record is from RNAcentral.